Molecule: ribosomal RNA, 605 nt
Filed under: Staphylococcus aureus
Lineage: Bacteria; Bacillati; Bacillota; Bacilli; Caryophanales; Staphylococcaceae
Description: bacterial SSU rRNA
Rfam family: Bacterial small subunit ribosomal RNA
Source: RNAcentral
UUUAUGGAGAGUUUGAUCCUGGCUCAGGAUGAACGCUGGCGGCGUGCCUAAUACAUGCAAGUCGAGCGAACGGACGAGAAGCUUGCUUCUCUGAUGUUAGCGGCGGACGGGUGAGUAACACGUGGAUAACCUACCUAUAAGACUGGGAUAACUUCGGGAAACCGGAGCUAAUACCGGAUAAUAUUUUGAACCGCAUGGUUCAAAAGUGAAAGACGGUCUUGCUGUCACUUAUAGAUGGAUCCGCGCUGCAUUAGCUAGUUGGUAAGGUAACGGCUUACCAAGGCAACGAUGCAUAGCCGACCUGAGAGGGUGAUCGGCCACACUGGAACUGAGACACGGUCCAGACUCCUACGGGAGGCAGCAGUAGGGAAUCUUCCGCAAUGGGCGAAAGCCUGACGGAGCAACGCCGCGUGAGUGAUGAAGGUCUUCGGAUCGUAAAACUCUGUUAUUAGGGAAGAACAUAUGUGUAAGUAACUGUGCACAUCUUGACGGUACCUAAUCAGAAAGCCACGGCUAACUACGUGCCAGCAGCCGCGGUAAUACGUAGGUGGCAAGCGUUAUCCGGAAUUAUUGGGCGUAAAGCGCGCGUAGGCGGUUUUUUAAGU